This 351-nucleotide ribosomal RNA is filed under the name uncultured bacterium. RNAcentral describes it as "bacterial SSU rRNA". It matches the Rfam family "Bacterial small subunit ribosomal RNA", at positions 8 to 349 of the family's 1533-position model. The record is from RNAcentral.
AGAGUUUGAUCCUGGCUCAGGAUGAACGCUAGCUACAGGCUUAACACAUGCAAGUCGAGGGGAAACGAUAUUGGAAGCUUGCUUCCGAUAGGCGUCGACCGGCGCACGGGUGAGUAACGCGUAUCCAACCUGCCCACCACUUGGGGAUAACCUUGCGAAAGUAAGACUAAUACCCAAUGACGUCUCUAGAAGACAUCUGAAGGAGAUUAAAGAUUUAUCGGUGAUGGAUGGGGAUGCGUCUGAUUAGCUUGUUGGCGGGGUAACGGCCACAAGGCGACGAUCAGUAGGGGUUCUGAGAGGAAGGUCCCCCACAUUGGAACUGAGACACGGUCCAAAACUCCUACGGGAGCA